RNAcentral lists this ribosomal RNA (433 nucleotides) under uncultured bacterium. RNAcentral describes it as "partial 16S ribosomal RNA". It matches the Rfam family "Bacterial small subunit ribosomal RNA", at positions 29 to 507 of the family's 1533-position model. The record is from RNAcentral.
AACGAACGCUGGCGGCAUGCCUAACACAUGCAAGUCGAACGAAACCUUCGGGUCUAGUGGCGCACGGGUGCGUAACGCGUGGGAACCUGCCCUUAGGUUCGGAAUAACUCCCCGAAAGGGGUGCUAAUACCGGAUAAUGUCUUCGGACCAAAGAUUUAUCGCCUUUGGAUGGGCCCGCGUUGGAUUAGCUAGUUGGUAGGGUAAAAGCCUACCAAGGCGACGAUCCAUAGCUGGUCUGAGAGGAUGAUCAGCCACACUGGGACUGAGACACGGCCCAGAAUCCUACGGGAGGCAGCAGUGGGGAAUAUAGGACAAUGGGGGAAAGCAUGAUCCAGCAAUGCCGCGUGAGUGAUGAAGGCCUUAGGGUUGUAAAGCUCUUUUACCCGGGAUGAUAAUGACAGUACCGGGAGAAUAAGCUCCGGCUAACUCCGUG